RNAcentral lists this ribosomal RNA (523 nucleotides) under Prionospio krusadensis. Its description in RNAcentral is "partial large subunit ribosomal RNA". It matches the Rfam family "Bacterial large subunit ribosomal RNA", at positions 1809 to 2605 of the family's 2925-position model. Lineage: Eukaryota; Metazoa; Annelida; Polychaeta; Spionida; Spionidae. The record is from RNAcentral.
AAAAACAUCGCCUCUAGAAACACCUAUUAGAGGUCCAUCCUGCCCAGUGACGUACGCGUUAAACGGCCGCGGUACCCUGACCGUGCUAAGGUAGCAUAAUCACUUGCCUUUUAAUUGGAGGCUUGUAUGAAUGGACACACGAGAGUGUUGCUGUCUCAUUAACACCCAUAAAAAUUAUCCUACAGGUGAAGAGACCUGUAUACUGUAAAAAGACGAAAAGACCCUGUGGAGCUUUACUUAUACCUUCUUACACACACAGUCUAAAAAUAUUUUUGUAAGAGCAAUAGUUUAGUUGGGGCGACUAAGGAGCACAAUAAACCCUCCUUUUAGCUAUAGGACAUAUUCCACACUUUGAUCCACCUUUCGUGAACACAAAACCAGCUACCCCAGGGAUAACAGGCUAAUCCUCUUUGAGAGCCCAUAUCGACAAGAGGGGUUGGCACCUCGAUGUUGGCUUAAGGUCCCUUCAAAAUGCAGCAGUUUUGAUAGUGGGUUUGUUCAACCCUUAAAACCUUACGUGAUC